GAACUGCGAUAAGUAAUGUGAAUUGCAGAAUUCAGUGAAUCAUCGAGUCUUUGAACGCACAUUGCGCCCCCUGGCGUUCCGGGGGGCAUGCCUGUCCGAGCGUCAUUGCUGCCCUUCAAGCCCGGCUUGUGUGUUGGGUCGUCGUCCCCCUCGGGGGACGGGCCCGAAAGGCAGCGGCGGCACCGUGUCCGGUCCUCGAGCGUAUGGGGCUUUGUCACCCGCUCGAUUAGGGCCGGCCGGGCGCCAGCCGGCGUCUCCAACCUUAUUUUUCUCAGGUUGACCUCGGAUCAGGUAGGGAUACCCGCUGAACUUAAGC
This 316-nucleotide unclassified non-coding RNA is filed under the name plant metagenome. Its description in RNAcentral is "partial contains 5.8S ribosomal RNA, internal transcribed spacer 2, and large subunit ribosomal RNA". The stretch from base 1 to 105 matches the Rfam family "5.8S ribosomal RNA", at positions 50 to 154 of the family's 154-position model. The record is from RNAcentral.